RNAcentral lists this ribosomal RNA (253 nucleotides) under uncultured bacterium. RNAcentral's name for it is "partial 16S ribosomal RNA". It matches the Rfam family "Bacterial small subunit ribosomal RNA", at positions 524 to 776 of the family's 1533-position model. The record is from RNAcentral.
UACAGAGGGGGCAAGCGUUGUUCGGAAUUACUGGGCGUAAAGGGCGCGUAGGCGGCCCGCUAAGUCGAACGUGAAAUCCCCGAGCUCAACUCGGGAACUGCGUCCGAUACUGGCGGGCUUGAAUCCGGGAGAGGGAUGCGGAAUUCCAGGUGUAGCGGUGAAAUGCGUAGAUAUCUAGAGGAACACCGGUGGCGAAGGCGGCAUCCUGGACCGGCAUUGACGCUGAGGCGCGAAAGCUAGGGGAGCAAACGGG